RNAcentral lists this transfer-messenger RNA (348 nucleotides) under bacterium. It matches the Rfam family "transfer-messenger RNA". From Rfam's summary of the family: Bacterial tmRNA, also known as 10Sa RNA or SsrA, is named for its dual tRNA and mRNA-like properties. Its role is to liberate the mRNA from a stalled ribosome. The record is from RNAcentral.
GGGGGUGCUUUGGUUUCGACUUGAUUUGAAAUCUACCCCGACUCAACCAGAGUAGUUGGCUUAACUGACUUGCUGAUAAGAUCAAAACAAACGGCGAAAAUAAAGUCGCUCUUGCUGCGUAAGCAGCGAGUCUUUGGGGAAAGUUAAUCCGAUAACCAAGGGCUAUGAGUAGGUGAGAUUUGACUGAGCGGAAAGACGCACUACGAUCCUUAUACGGAACAAGAUAAGGAGGGCUGGAUACCUUUCACCAGCUAGUCUAUCGUCAGACGAAAAGCGGCGAGUAUGGUUGUAUAUGGUCGGAAUGAAGACAUUUUAAGGACAGGAGUUCGAAUCUCCUCACCUCCACCA